Long non-coding RNA from Oncorhynchus tshawytscha (Chinook salmon), 711 nucleotides. The record is from Ensembl. Lineage: Eukaryota; Metazoa; Chordata; Actinopteri; Salmoniformes; Salmonidae.
GUUAAAUCAGGUUGAUCUGAAGACAGCCACAUCAACUCUGACACUGGAGGUCGAAGGAUAGAGUGUGAUGCAGGAGAGUGAUGAUCUAGAGACAGCUGGGACAUCUCAAUCCCAGGAGACUGAACGAGUGGCAAAGGUAAAUGCUUCCAGAUAACAGUGUGUGUGUGUGUACAUGUCUGUUUGUGCACACAGACAGUAGUUCGUAAACAGACAUUGCGUGAACAGUGCCUAUGGCGAAUUUGAUUGAAUUCCAGCCUAAGUCUGCUUUCUGUCAUCCCCAUCAGGCUGCAGUGGUGACCUUCACUACCAUGACCCGCAAGGCUGCAGCCUCCCAGACCAGCCUCACCCUCAGCAGGGGAAAGAGAAGCUACCCAGACCUACACGCCUUUGUGCAGGACAUAAAGGAUGGCCAUUGGAAUCUGCUGAGUGAGAAUAUGCGUGCCGGGAUGAGCAGAGAUGAGUUUAGUGCUAGGUGCAUAUGGAUAUUACAAAUUGGGUGAUGGAGUCUACAUCCACUGUGGUCGUUCCUGCCAUUGACCUCACUAUGCAGAUCGAGCUCUCUGAUUCGUCAAGCUCUUCUGGAUCAGGAAGUAAUGAGACAAGAGAAGUGACCUCUCUUGGCCGCAGCGUCAGAUUCAGCUUUUGUGGUGGACCCAGUAGACGCACCAGUUCUGGAACUGCUUGAAGCACACAAACUCCCACGCCUUUCCC